RNAcentral lists this long non-coding RNA (459 nucleotides) under Homo sapiens (human). RNAcentral describes it as "HSALNT0031402". The record is from RNAcentral. Lineage: Eukaryota; Metazoa; Chordata; Mammalia; Primates; Hominidae.
GGAAUAGCAACUGUUUUUGAAGGACUCAUCUUCAUUUGACCCUGGCUUAGAGUUGGUCUAUGAGGGCUGUUUCCUGGGGAUUUCCACCUGAACUGCAAAGAGCCCUGGCCCCAGCUCAUGCCACGUGGAGGAUGGAGACAGCUGUAUUUCUUGUGUGACUUUCUCUGUGUGGCAAGAGGUAGAUGAAGGGAGUCAAGGACAGAGCAAGUCUCUCUACAAUCCUGAGCAUCAACAUAGCAACAGAAGCAUUUUGUGACUUGUGUUCCUAAGGGGGUGCUGACAGAUAUCUCCAGCUGGCUCUGCACACACUGUAUUCUGGGAGGACCUUCUGGAGAAGGUGCUUGGAGCCCUAGAAGGUAAGAUACAAUGAGAAUCCCAUGGAAGCUGCUGAUUUGCCUUGGCUAAUCAGCAAGUAGAAAUAAGUGUUAGGAAGAAAAUAAAUAACAGGCAGAGAGAGAG